RNAcentral lists this ribosomal RNA (468 nucleotides) under uncultured bacterium. RNAcentral's name for it is "partial 16S ribosomal RNA". It matches the Rfam family "Bacterial small subunit ribosomal RNA", at positions 28 to 507 of the family's 1533-position model. The record is from RNAcentral.
GACGAACGCUGGCGGCGUGCUUAACACAUGCAAGUCGAACGGAAAGGCCCUGCUUUUGUGGGGUGCUCGAGUGGCGAACGGGUGAGUAACACGUGAGUAACCUGCCCUUGACUUUGGGAUAACUUCAGGAAACUGGGGCUAAUACCGGAUAGGAGCUCCUGCUGCAUGGUGGGGGUUGGAAAGUUUCGGCGGUUGGGGAUGGACUCGCGGCUUAUCAGCUUGUUGGUGGGGUAGUGGCUUACCAAGGGUUUGACGGAAACCCGGCCUAGGAGGGGGACCGGCCACAUUGGGACUGAGAUACGGCCCAGAAGCCUACGGGAGGCAGCAGGGGGGAAUAUUGCGGAAUGGGCGGAAGCCUGAGGCAGCAGCGCCGCGUGCGGGAUGACGGCCUUCGGGUGAUAAACAGCUUUCGCCUGUGACGAAGCGUGAGUGACGGUAAUGGGUAAAGAAGCACCGGCUAACUACGUG